Molecule: non-coding RNA, 384 nt
Organism: Nematolebias whitei (Rio pearlfish)
Lineage: Eukaryota; Metazoa; Chordata; Actinopteri; Cyprinodontiformes; Rivulidae
Source: the annotation of a RefSeq genome assembly
AUGUUGACAGUGAAAGUUGGUGUGAACAGGAUGUUUCAGUUCCUCUCCCUCAUCAGAGACAGCUCCAGCCUCCCUCCUCCUGUCCUGACAGUCUUCCCUCCGUCCAGUUCUGAGCUCCGCUCCAACAAAGCCUCUCUGGUCUGUCUGUCCAGUCAGUCUGUGCCUUUUGCACAUGUGAGCUGGUUGGUUGAUGGGAGUCCAGUGAGCACUGGGGUCUCUACCAGCACCGCUGUCCAGAGACCAGACCAGAUGUUCCACAUCAGCAGCUCUCUGUCCAUCCAGACCUCAGACUGGAACAUGAAUAAGGUUUACACCUGUAAAGUGUCUGUGGACUCCCAGUCUGAGGAGAAAACCAUCAACAAGUCAGGAUGUGCUGAAGAAUAA